This is a small nucleolar RNA of Vigna unguiculata (cowpea), 83 nucleotides long. RefSeq annotates it as small nucleolar RNA snoR53Y. The record is from RefSeq and is a predicted model, not a curated record. NCBI's taxonomy places the organism in Eukaryota, Viridiplantae, Streptophyta, Magnoliopsida, Fabales, Fabaceae.
GUUUCCGAUGGUGUUAUCUCAUUUUACCAUUCUAAUUGUGAUUAUAGAUGAUUGAUAUUUUCAGUUGAAUUACUAAGGAAACC